AAAUGUAGUAUGUUUAGGCAUCUAAAACAUAUUAAAGAAGGGGAUCUUCGGACCUUUCGGUUAAGGGAGAGUCUAUGGGAUAUCAGCUUGUUGGUGGGGUAAUGGCCUACCAAGGCUUUGACGUCUAGGCGGAUUGAGAGAUUGACCGCCAACACUGGGACUGAGACACUGCCCAGACUUCUACGGAAGGCUGCAGUCGAGAAUCUUUCGCAAUGGACGAAAGUCUGACGAAGCGACGCCGCGUGUGUGAUGAAGGCUCUAGGGUUGUAAAGCACUUUCGCUUGGGAAUAAGAGAGAUUGGCUAAUAUCCAAUCGAUUUGAGCGUACCAGGUAAAGAAGCACCGGCUAACUCCGUGCCAGCAGCUGCGGUAAUACGGAGGGUGCUAGCGUUAAUCGGAUUUAUUGGGCGUAAAGGGCGUGUAGGCGGAAAGGAAAGUUAGAUGUUAAAUCUUGGGGCUCAACCCCAAGCCAGCAUCUAAUACUAUCUUUCUAGAGGGUAGAUGGAGAAAAGGGAAUUCCACGUGUAGCGGUGAAAUGCGUAGAUAUGUGGAAGAACACCAGUGGCGAAGGCGCUUUUCUAAUUUACACCUGACGCUAAGGCGCGAAAGCAAGGGGAGCAAACAGGAUUAGAUACCCUGGUAGUCCUUGCCGUAAACGAUGCAUACUUGAUGUGGAUAGUCUCAACCCUAUCCGUGUCGUAGCUAACGCGUUAAGUAUGCCGCCUGAGGAAUACACUCGCAAGGGUGAAACUCAAAAGAAUUGACGGGGGCCCGCACAAGCAGUGGAGCAUGUGGUUUAAUUCGAUGCAACGCGAAGAACCUUACCUGGGCUUGACAUGUAUUUGACCGCGGCAGAAAUGUCGUUUUCCGCAAGGACAGAUACACAGGUGCUGCAUGGCUGUCGUCAGCUCGUGCCGUGAGGUGUUGGGUUAAGUCCCGCAACGAGCGCAACCCUUAUCGUUAGUUGCCAACACUUAGGGUGGGAACUCUAAUGAGACUGCCUGGGUUAACCAGGAGGAAGGCGAGGAUGACGUCAAGUCAGCAUGGCCCUUAUGCCCAGGGCUACACACGUGCUACAAUGGCCAGUACAGAAGGUAGCAAUAUCGCAAGAUGGAGCAAAUCCUCAAAGCUGGCCCCAGUUCGGAUUGUAGUCUGCAACUCGACUACAUGAAGUCGGAAUUGCUAGUAAUGGCGUGUCAGCUAUAACGCCGUGAAUMCG
RNAcentral lists this ribosomal RNA (1218 nucleotides) under uncultured Chlamydia sp. Its description in RNAcentral is "bacterial SSU rRNA". Lineage: Bacteria; Pseudomonadati; Chlamydiota; Chlamydiia; Chlamydiales; Chlamydiaceae. The record is from RNAcentral.